RNAcentral lists this transfer RNA (70 nucleotides) under Nerophis ophidion (straightnose pipefish). Its description in RNAcentral is "tRNA-Gln". It matches the Rfam family "tRNA". Rfam says of the family: Transfer RNA (tRNA) molecules are approximately 80 nucleotides in length. The record is from RNAcentral. Lineage: Eukaryota; Metazoa; Chordata; Actinopteri; Syngnathiformes; Syngnathidae.
UAGGUAGUAGUGUAACGGAAGCACCAAGAGUUUUGAUCUCUUUAGCAGGGUUCAAAUCCCUUCUUCCUAA